Non-coding RNA from Cordylochernes scorpioides, 267 nucleotides. The record is from the annotation of a GenBank genome assembly. NCBI's taxonomy places the organism in Eukaryota, Metazoa, Arthropoda, Arachnida, Pseudoscorpiones, Chernetidae.
GUCAAAUUAGCUUGACUGAGAAAGCUUUAGACUUUAGAACCUGAUGUCCCUGGUUCGAAAACGCUUUUCGCCAUCUUUUUAUUUACUCCUUUUUUGUGAUCUCUUCCUGAUAUUGGAAAAUAUUGACUGAGGUGUCACUAAAUUUGUUUUAAUUGUCACAUACAACAUAAUAUAUAAUUAAUUUUAAAAAACAUUCUAGAGCAGGGGUUAGUAAUCUUUAGAGUAGUUACGACCACUACGACCCGGGUUCGAUCCCCGCAUUGGACA